This 292-nucleotide ribosomal RNA is filed under the name uncultured bacterium. Its description in RNAcentral is "partial 16S ribosomal RNA". It matches the Rfam family "Archaeal small subunit ribosomal RNA", at positions 455 to 746 of the family's 1478-position model. The record is from RNAcentral.
GUGCCAGCCGCCGCGGUAAUACCGGCAGUCCGAGUGAUGGUCGAUAUUAUUGGGCCUAAAGCGUCCGUAGCUGGCCGAGCAAGUCUGUCGGGAGAUCUAGUAGCUCAACUACUAGACGUCCGGUGGAAACUGUUCGGCUUGGGACCGGAAGAUCCAAGGGGUACGUCCGGGGUAGGAGUGAAAUCCUGUAAUCCUGGACGGACCACCGAUGGCGAAAGCACCUUGGAAGCACGGAUCCGACAGUGAGGGACGAAAGCUAGGGUCUCGAACCGGAUUAGAAACCCCGGUAGUC